GCCGAAGUGGUGGAAUGGUAGACACGCUAGGUUCAGGGUCUAGUGAUCGCAAGGUCGUGCGGGUUCGAGUCCCGCCUUCGGCACCA
RNAcentral lists this transfer RNA (86 nucleotides) under Leptospirillum ferriphilum. RNAcentral's name for it is "tRNA-Leu". It matches the Rfam family "tRNA". From Rfam's summary of the family: Transfer RNA (tRNA) molecules are approximately 80 nucleotides in length. Their secondary structure includes four short double-helical elements and three loops (D, anti-codon, and T loops). The record is from RNAcentral. Lineage: Bacteria; Pseudomonadati; Nitrospirota; Nitrospiria; Nitrospirales; Nitrospiraceae. RNAcentral also lists the same sequence under 8 other names.